Molecule: ribosomal RNA, 2906 nt
Filed under: Klebsiella oxytoca
Lineage: Bacteria; Pseudomonadati; Pseudomonadota; Gammaproteobacteria; Enterobacterales; Enterobacteriaceae
Description: bacterial LSU rRNA
Rfam family: Bacterial large subunit ribosomal RNA
Source: RNAcentral
UUAAGCGACUAAGCGUACACGGUGGAUGCCCUGGCAGUCAGAGGCGAUGAAGGACGUGCUAAUCUGCGAAAAGCGUCGGUAAGGUGAUAUGAACCGUUACAGCCGGCGAUGUCCGAAUGGGGAAACCCAGUGCAAUUCGUUGCACUAUCGUUUGAUGAAUACAUAGUCAAACGAGGCGAACCGGGGGAACUGAAACAUCUAAGUACCCCGAGGAAAAGAAAUCAACCGAGAUUCCCCCAGUAGCGGCGAGCGAACGGGGAGCAGCCCGGAGUCUGAAUCAGCUUGUGUGUUAGUGGAAGCGUCUGGAAAGUCGCAGGGUACAGGGUGAUACUCCCGUACACUAAAACACACAGGCUGUGAACUCGAAGAGUAGGGCGGGACACGUGGUAUCCUGUCUGAAUAUGGGGGGGACCAUCCUCCAAGGCUAAAUACUCCUGACUGACCGAUAGUGAACCAGUACCGUGAGGGAAAGGCGAAAAGAACCCCGGCGAGGGGAGUGAAAAAGAACCUGAAACCGUGUACGUACAAGCAGUAGGAGCCCACUAGUUGGGUGACUGCGUACCUUUUGUAUAAUGGGUCAGCGACUUAUAUUCUGUAGCAAGGUUAACCGAAUAGGGGAGCCGCAGGGAAACCGAGUCUUAACUGGGCGUUAAGUUGCAGGGUAUAGACCCGAAACCCGGUGAUCUAGCCAUGGGCAGGUUGAAGGUUGGGUAACACUAACUGGAGGACCGAACCGACUAAUGUUGAAAAAUUAGCGGAUGACUUGUGGCUGGGGGGUGAAAGGCCAAUCAAACCGGGAGAUAGCUGGUUCUCCCCGAAAGCUAUUUAGGUAGCGCCUCGUGAACUCAUCUUCGGGGGGUAGAGCACUGUUUCGGCUAGGGGGUCAUCCCGACUUACCAACCCGAUGCAAACUACGAAUACCGAAGAAUGUUAUCACGGGAGACACACGGCGGGUGCUAACGUCCGUCGUGAAGAGGGAAACAACCCAGACCGCCAGCUAAGGUCCCAAAGUCAUGGUUAAGUGGGAAACGAUGUGGGAAGGCCCAGACAGCCAGGAUGUUGGCUUAGAAGCAGCCAUCAUUUAAAGAAAGCGUAAUAGCUCACUGGUCGAGUCGGCCUGCGCGGAAGAUGUAACGGGGCUAAACCAUGCACCGAAGCUGCGGCAGCGACACUAUGUGUUGUUGGGUAGGGGAGCGUUCUGUAAGCCGUUGAAGGUGGCCUGUGAGGGUUGCUGGAGGUAUCAGAAGUGCGAAUGCUGACAUAAGUAACGAUAAUGCGGGUGAAAAACCCGCACGCCGGAAGACCAAGGGUUCCUGUCCAACGUUAAUCGGGGCAGGGUGAGUCGACCCCUAAGGCGAGGCCGAAAGGCGUAGUCGAUGGGAAACAGGUUAAUAUUCCUGUACUUGGUGUUACUGCGAAGGGGGGACGGAGAAGGCUAUGUUGGCCGGGCGACGGUUGUCCCGGUUUAAGCAUGUAGGCGGAUGUUCCAGGUAAAUCCGGAACGUCACUAACGCUGAGGUGUGAUGACGAGGCACUACGGUGCUGAAGUGACAAAUGCCCUGCUUCCAGGAAAAGCCUCUAAGCAUCAGGUAACAUCAAAUCGUACCCCAAACCGACACAGGUGGUCAGGUAGAGAAUACCAAGGCGCUUGAGAGAACUCGGGUGAAGGAACUAGGCAAAAUGGUGCCGUAACUUCGGGAGAAGGCACGCUGAUGGUAGGUGAAGUGACUUGCUCAUGGAGCUGAAAUCAGUCGAAGAUACCAGCUGGCUGCAACUGUUUAUUAAAAACACAGCACUGUGCAAACACGAAAGUGGACGUAUACGGUGUGACGCCUGCCCGGUGCCGGAAGGUUAAUUGAUGGGGUUAUCCUCGCGGAGAAGCUCUUGAUCGAAGCCCCGGUAAACGGCGGCCGUAACUAUAACGGUCCUAAGGUAGCGAAAUUCCUUGUCGGGUAAGUUCCGACCUGCACGAAUGGCGUAAUGAUGGCCAGGCUGUCUCCACCCGAGACUCAGUGAAAUUGAACUCGCUGUGAAGAUGCAGUGUACCCGCGGCAAGACGGAAAGACCCCGUGAACCUUUACUAUAGCUUGACACUGAACACUGGUCCUUGAUGUGUAGGAUAGGUGGGAGGCUUUGAAGUGUGGACGCCAGUCUGCAUGGAGCCGUCCUUGAAAUACCACCCUUUAAUGGCUGGUGUUCUAACGUGGGCCCGUGAUCCGGGUUGCGGACAGUGUCUGGUGGGUAGUUUGACUGGGGCGGUCUCCUCCUAAAGAGUAACGGAGGAGCACGAAGGUCAGCUAAUCCUGGUCGGACAUCAGGAGGUUAGUGCAAUGGCAUAAGCUGGCUUGACUGCGAGCGUGACGGCGCGAGCAGGUGCGAAAGCAGGUCAUAGUGAUCCGGUGGUUCUGAAUGGAAGGGCCAUCGCUCAACGGAUAAAAGGUACUCCGGGGAUAACAGGCUGAUACCGCCCAAGAGUUCAUAUCGACGGCGGUGUUUGGCACCUCGAUGUCGGCUCAUCACAUCCUGGGCUGAAGUAGGUCCCAAGGGUAUGGCUGUUCGCCAUUUAAAGUGGUACGCGAGCUGGGUUUAGAACGUCGUGAGACAGUUCGGUCCCUAUCUGCCGUGGGCGCUGGAGAAUUGAGGGGGGCUGCUCCUAGUACGAGAGGACCGGAGUGGACGCAUCACUGGUGUUCGGGUUGUCAUGCCAAUGGCAUUGCCCGGUAGCUAAAUGCGGAAGAGAUAAGUGCUGAAAGCAUCUAAGCACGAAACUUGCCCCGAGAUGAGUUCUCCCUGACCCUUUAAGGGUCCUGAAGGAACGUUGAAGACGACGACGUUGAUAGGCCGGGUGUGUAAGCGCAGCGAUGCGUUGAGCUAACCGGUACUAAUGAACCGUGAGGCUUAACCUU